UUAUAAGAGACGUCCUCUAACGUUGAUCAACAACAGCAAAAGUAGCGUGAAGUGGAGACCAAGACUUUUCUUAUAGUGUGGAGACCAAAACUUCCAUUUGAGAAAAGACUUGAGAUAUCAUCUCGGCACAAGUUGGGUGAUAAUGAUUAACCAAUCAUCUCGUCAUCUUGAUAGGCAUCCCACCCACCUUCACAAGAUCACUUCUUCACAUCGAAGGUGCUUUGAUCUCCUUAAGCUUGGACCUCGACAAAGACGUUUUGAUCUCGUUUGACGUCUCCUACUCA
This 284-nucleotide long non-coding RNA is filed under the name Brassica napus (rape). RNAcentral's name for it is "long non-coding RNA (BNAP_LNC012398)". The record is from RNAcentral. Lineage: Eukaryota; Viridiplantae; Streptophyta; Magnoliopsida; Brassicales; Brassicaceae.